RNAcentral lists this ribosomal RNA (680 nucleotides) under Pseudomonas aeruginosa. Its description in RNAcentral is "partial 23S ribosomal RNA". It matches the Rfam family "Bacterial large subunit ribosomal RNA", at positions 833 to 1515 of the family's 2925-position model. The record is from RNAcentral. Lineage: Bacteria; Pseudomonadati; Pseudomonadota; Gammaproteobacteria; Pseudomonadales; Pseudomonadaceae.
UCAAGCCGGGAGAUAGCUGGUUCUCCCCGAAAGCUAUUUAGGUAGCGCCUCGUGAAUUCAUCUUCGGGGGUAGAGCACUGUUUCGGCUAGGGGGUCAUCCCGACUUACCAACCCGAUGCAAACUACGAAUACCGAAGAAUGUUAUCACGGGAGACACACGGCGGGUGCUAACGUCCGUCGUGAAGAGGGAAACAACCCAGACCGCCAGCUAAGGUCCCAAAGUCAUGGUUAAGUGGGAAACGAUGUGGGAAGGCACAGACAGCCAGGAUGUUGGCUUAGAAGCAGCCAUCAUUUAAAGAAAGCGUAAUAGCUCACUGGUCGAGUCGGCCUGCGCGGAAGAUGUAACGGGGCUAAACCAUGCACCGAAGCUGCGGCAGCGACACUAUGUGUUGUUGGGUAGGGGAGCGUUCUGUAAGCCUGCGAAGGUGUGCUGUGAGGCAUGCUGGAGGUAUCAGAAGUGCGAAUGCUGACAUAAGUAACGAUAAAGCGGGUGAAAAGCCCGCUCGCCGGAAGACCAAGGGUUCCUGUCCAACGUUAAUCGGGGCAGGGUGAGUCGACCCCUAAGGCGAGGCCGAAAGGCGUAGUCGAUGGGAAACAGGUUAAUAUUCCUGUACUUGGUGUUACUGCGAAGGGGGGACGGAGAAGGCUAUGUUAGCCGGGCGACGGUUGUCCCGGUUUAA